GGGCGGGCCAAAACUCCCAGGGGGGGCGUGGCUUGUAAAGGAGGCCCCUCCCCCUCCUCUGUAUAUCUGGGUCUGGGGGGCUCCCAAGAGUGGCGGAUCUUUAUUGGGUGGGGGGGUUGUUUUAAGCACUGUUAGGCUGUUCUAUGGGCCGGGCUCGGGAGGUCCAUAGGUCUUACGAAUGGGGUCUUCGUGCCUAUGGUGCCUGCUUUCACAGUGAUUUGGGGGGGGGUCUUAGUGGUCUCAAUGGGGGGGGGUCCCUCAUGGGGGGGGCUAUGGGGGUCCUAAAGCUCCAUAGGGGAUAAUGGGGGGGUCUUAAGACUCCAUAGUGGUGUAUGGGGGGGUCCCAGGGCUCCAUAGGGAACAAUGGGGGCAGGGGUCUUAAGGGGGGUCCCACAUCUCCAUAGGGGUCUCAGUGAGUCCAUAGGGGUCCGGGGGGGUCCCACAGCCCCAUAGGGCUCCAUGGCUGCUCCCGGUGCCAUUCCCGGUUCCGAUCCCGGUUCAGAUCCCGGUUCCAUUCCCCAUUCAGAUCCCGGUUCGGAUCCCGGUUCGAUUCCCCCUUCAGUUCCAUCCCGGUUCGGAUCCCGGUUCGGAUCCCGGUUCCAUUCCCCGUUAUUCGGAUCCCGGUUCGAUUCCCCCUUCAGUUCCAUCCCGUUCAGAUCCCGGUUCAGAUCCCGGUUCAUGUCCCCGUUUAAAUCCCGGUUAGGAUCCCUGUUCCAUUCCCGGUUCGUUUCCCCGUUCAACUCCCGGUUCAGUUCCCGGUUCCAUUCCCCGUUUAACUCCCGUUUCGGCUCCCGUUUCGGCUCCCCGUUCACCUCGCUCCCGUUCGCCUCCAUCCCGUCGUUCCUCCGGUUCCAUCCCGUCUCCAUCCGGUUCCGUUCCGUCCGGUUCCCCCCUGUUUCCGUUCCUGAGGCUGGCGGCCAACACGAUCCCCUGCACGGCGGCGUAGGCGGCCCCGAGCGGCAGCAUCAGCUCCUGCAGCACCAACCGGAGCCCGGCGGCCGCCAUGAUGAACGCGGCCAGGCCUUGACACCAGGCCCCGGCCGCUCCGUUCAACCCUAUGGCCGUUAA
RNAcentral lists this long non-coding RNA (1068 nucleotides) under Coturnix japonica (Japanese quail). RNAcentral describes it as "lncRNA (ENSCJPG00005002587.1)". Lineage: Eukaryota; Metazoa; Chordata; Aves; Galliformes; Phasianidae. The record is from RNAcentral.